AGCGCCUCCAGCCUCCUAUCCUGGAUGUCAACUACAGAAACCUCUGAGAUUGAGGUUUUCUUCUUUUUGGAUGAAUUCUGAAGUUAAACAUAAAACAUCUUGAAAAUAGACUGGAGAUUUGUCAAAUGAAACAGACAAAAAAGUACUGAGAGUAAGUUUACAGCAACAGAGUUUCAUAAGAAUUCAGUGGACGGUCUUGGGUACUAAACCCUUUUGAGAACCUGGCCACUGAUGUCCCUAACCCUAAAUUUGGCAGCCUAAGAAACUUUCCAGAUUGUUUAAUCUGCAGGUCAGCAUAUCAGGCAAUAAUGUUUCAAAUGCCUUCAAGGUGACUUAAAGAAAAGCACUCUGGAGCUUGAAAGCUUCUCUCUUUCACCAGCAAAUAUUGGUCCAAUGAAAGAUAUUACCUCGCCCACCUUUUCUAUCUUCAAGGCGUUACUCAGGUUGCAGAACCACCUGCUGCCACUGGGGCACACCUGGUUGGUCUGGGAGAACUCCAGCCCCUGGAGGCUGCAAUACAGCUGGCUGCCAAGAGAGGACCUCUGGCCCUGUAGCACAUAGACUGUAGACAGCAGAGGGAUGAUG
Molecule: long non-coding RNA, 585 nt
Organism: Mauremys mutica (yellowpond turtle)
Lineage: Eukaryota; Metazoa; Chordata; Testudines; Geoemydidae
Exons: 3
Source: RefSeq, a predicted model, not a curated record